UACGAAGGGGGCUAGCGUUGCUCGGAAUCACUGGGCGUAAAGGGUGCGUAGGCGGGUCUUUAAGUCAGAGGUGAAAUCCUGGAGCUCAACUCCAGAACUGCCUUUGAUACUGAGGAUCUUGAGUUCGGGAGAGGUGAGUGGAACUGCGAGUGUAGAGGUGAAAUUCGUAGAUAUUCGCAAGAACACCAGUGGCGAAGGCGGCUCACUGGCCCGAUACUGACGCUGAGGCACGAAAGCCAGGGGAGCGAACGGG
This 253-nucleotide ribosomal RNA is filed under the name uncultured bacterium. Its description in RNAcentral is "partial 16S ribosomal RNA". It matches the Rfam family "Bacterial small subunit ribosomal RNA", at positions 524 to 776 of the family's 1533-position model. The record is from RNAcentral.